GGGGUUGUGGCUCAGUGAUAGAGCACUUGCCUAGCAUGUAUGAAGCCCUGGGUUCUAUUCUCAGCACCA
RNAcentral lists this transfer RNA (69 nucleotides) under Ictidomys tridecemlineatus (thirteen-lined ground squirrel). Its description in RNAcentral is "Spermophilus tridecemlineatus (thirteen-lined ground squirrel) tRNA". It matches the Rfam family "tRNA". From Rfam's summary of the family: Transfer RNA (tRNA) molecules are approximately 80 nucleotides in length. Lineage: Eukaryota; Metazoa; Chordata; Mammalia; Rodentia; Sciuridae. The record is from Rfam by way of RNAcentral.